Molecule: long non-coding RNA, 401 nt
Organism: Gymnogyps californianus (California condor)
Lineage: Eukaryota; Metazoa; Chordata; Aves; Accipitriformes; Cathartidae
Exons: 3
Source: RefSeq, a predicted model, not a curated record
GUAAGAGUACUGAAGUAUCAGCCACAAGAGAAUCUACAGAAUCGUCUCAGGCUGAAAAAGAUAUUGGAGCAUGCCAUGUCCUCUCAUCUCUGAUGAUUAAGAAGAAGCUAAACAGCAGGAAAUGAAGAGUUCUGGCAAUGUAUUACCAGUCACAACUCUGCAGAACUCCAACUAAUACUUUGAAGAAUAGCAGCAAUCCUGGAACCAGAUUUUCAAAACAGAUGUGCAUGAAAAUCUGAAGGUGGGAAAGAUGUAGCCCUCAUCCCUGAGCGGUGGUCCUCAGGGUAUGUCCUUUCAGAUAAAAAUAUCAACCUCAUCUCACAAAAAUGUAGUGUCUGACUCACCUUUUCCAUUGUCAAAGUCACCUCCUGGAGCUGUCCAAGACAAGACUAUUGUUUCGU